Molecule: transfer RNA, 73 nt
Filed under: Bos taurus (domestic cattle)
Lineage: Eukaryota; Metazoa; Chordata; Mammalia; Artiodactyla; Bovidae
Also listed under: 2 other names
Rfam family: tRNA
About the family: Transfer RNA (tRNA) molecules are approximately 80 nucleotides in length.
Source: Rfam by way of RNAcentral
UUCCAUGUGGCUCAGACGUUAAAGCAUCUGCCUUGCAAUGCAGAAGACCCCGGUUCAAUCCCUGGGUUGGGAA